CAGCAGCCACGGUAAUACGGAGGAUCCAAGCGUUAUCCGGAAUUACUGGGCGUAAAGAGUUGCGUAGGUGGCAUUGUAAGUUGGUAGUGAAAGCGUGCGGCUCAACCGUAUACACAUUACCAAAACUGCAAAGCUAGAGGAUGAGAGAGGUUAUUGGAAUUCCUAGUGUAGGAGUGAAAUCCGUAGAUAUUAGGAGGAACACCGAUGGCGUAGGCAGAUAACUGGCUCAUUCCUGACACUAAGGCACGAAAGCGUGGGGAGCGACCGGGAUUAGAGACCCCGGUAGUCCCUGUCUCUUAUA
Molecule: ribosomal RNA, 301 nt
Filed under: uncultured bacterium
Lineage: Bacteria
Description: partial 16S ribosomal RNA
Rfam family: Bacterial small subunit ribosomal RNA
Source: RNAcentral